CUCAUGCAUGCCACCCCCACUCCCACUCCCAUUGGGGACCAAGCCCACAACUGGGCAUGUGACCUGACUGGGAAUCAAACUGUGACCUCCUGGUUCAUGGGUCAAUGUUCAACCACUGAGCCACACCAGCUGGGAAAAACUUGUUGUUUUAAGAUGCUAAGUUUUGGGGUAAUUUGUUACUCAGCAAUGGUUAACUACUUACUCUAUUGCCACAUUAUCACAUUAGAUCCUCAGAACAAAUGUGAAAGGUAGAAUUUUUCUCCCAUUUUUCAGAUGAGAAAACCAAGGCUGAGAUGAGUGUAGUGACUUCCCACCCCUGGGAAGUGGCUGAGCUGGAAUUUUCCCCAUGUCUAUUGGGUUCCAAAUCAUAGGGAAGCUGGUUCUGUUUCCUUAGCUGGAAUGUCUCCAGCUCCAGGGUGAUGUUUGAGAAAUCGAGGACAGGAGGAUGUGGUCUCUUUAUCUGAGGUGUUUCUCUCCCCCUUUUCAUUUUAAUCACAUUAGUUUGCAGCUAUGGCAUCUCUUGUGUAUAUGUGAGUCAGUGACAAGUAGGUUUAUUAGAAAAAAACAUCAGAGUUUUAUAAGGGGGAUACUUGGGCUCUUGAGUGACCUUGGAUAAGUUCUUACACUCUUGUAGGCCUGUUUCUCUAUCUCCUUUAUGGAGAUAAUAACCCCUGUUCCUCAUUCCUUACCAGGGAACCUUGAGUAUCCAGUACAAAGGGACUUUGUAAAAAUGUCAAGUAUUGUGAUCCCAGAAAGGUUUGCUUUGAGUCAGGAGCAUGCCUCACCCAGUUUGCCUUGAGGUAGCCCCUCACAGUCUGCAACAGUGACCUGUGCUCCCUCUUAUCUCCCACCUGCAUCUAGGUUCAGGAGACAGAAUACUGGGAGAAAUUGAGAGCCCCAACCCACUUCUUGAAUCUCAGCCUUCACUAUCAUCUUCCUCUUCAGCAAGAUUGCAGCCCUCCUGAAGUAGUGGAAAUUCCCCAAGCUUUUCUGCAUGCUGAGCCUCUGUCUUUGCAGUUUCUUCUCUCUGGGCACCAUUCUCAGUAUUCCACCUGGUGUGUCACUACUCAUCUCUCAUGACUCAGAUGUCCCCACUUUCAGGAGACCUCUUGACCUGGUUCAAAGCCUGCUUCUCCUCUGCAUUAGUGCACCAGCCUCCUGACUGAGCACGUGGACUCCAGCUUCUCUUUUCUACUUAACAGCCCUCGUGGCACAGCCAGCAGUCUUUCUAAAACACACAUCUUGUCAUGUCACUCCCUGCUUAAAAUAACCGCCCAAUGGAAUAAUCCAUCCAUCAAUGUUUCAGAAGCUCCUCCUUGCUCUCGGGAAAACAUCCAAAGCCUCCAGCUGGAACUCAAGGCUGGCUCCCCACUGGUGUCUCCAGCCUCAGCUCUCCCCUCUCCUGAUCGCCCUGCACAGGUGGUACAUCCUAGCCGCAUUGAUCUCGUUCCAUAACUCAGACAUGCCUCGCUCUCUUGUGCCUUCUGAUCUGCUGGUCCCCUUGUUUUCCAUGCCCAUUCCCAUCUUAGCCACCUAGUGACUUCCUGCCUAAUGUAGAAGGCCAGCUCUGAUUUAAUCCCUUCUGGGAAGUCUGCCCUGGGGAUCCCAGGAAGAGUCCAUGGCUGCUUCUUCCCUCUCCUAUAUGACUUCUCAAGCUGUUGUUACUGUUGGUCAGCUUGCCUGCUUACACUAGAAGUUUCUUGUAUCUGACACAUGGUUGGGUCCCCAGCAGGGUCAGCACAGGUACUUGGAGCAGUCAUGUAGGAUUCGUUGGCUGGUUGAAUGAAGGAAGAAAUGAAUGGUGAAUGAAUCCAUCCUUGAACCAUCGCUUCUUGGCCAGCCUCAGAACUGUUAUUUUCCAGGGCAAGCCCAUUUUAUAGCAAAAGGGGAAGCAGAAAGGACUGCUUUGGAGUGGAGAAAAUCAAUAAAAUGUAAAUCUGGGUAAGAAAAGCUGUCCCAGAUUGGCUGUGAGGAGAGAUAAGACUGGGAUGAUGAGCCCCGGUUGACAAUAAAAGAGAUUAGGGGACAAGCAGAGCUGCAGCCAGGGCAGGGCAAAGGGAGUAUCUCCCUUCAUUGGUACCCCCCCCCCCCCGUCUUUGCCACUUUCCCUGCCCCCAUGCUCUAUGCACUCCUUCAGUUCUCUCAGGGAUCCUAGAUAGAGACGGAAACUUAAAAAAUGUUGAUCAUCAAAUGCACUCAUUUGGUCUUUACAAACUUUUGGGAAACAGGAGAUAGGAACGAUCAACCUCAUUUUCCUUUCCUCCGGUGAAGAAACGGAGGUGUAGAGAAGUUAAAUCACUUGUUCAGGGUCACACCAUGAAUAAGUGCCAGAGUCAAUAUCUGAGUUUAAAUCUGACUCUAAAACGCUGUCCUUUUCCCUCCAUUGCACUGGAGGUCUUGAGCCAGGCUUCAACGGGUCCCCAGCCUCUGAAAUCAGAUGCACAAUUGUGUUUAUGUGCAUUUUUUUAAUGGAGGGUUUAUAUCUUGUAUCGUCCAGGGUGAUUGUCACCCAUCACCUUGCCUAUCCCAUGUUCCCUCCCUGGAGGAGGCCUCUGAGCUGAGUAUAGCAGAUUGGGAUACAGUGGAGUGGGGCGAAGGCCAGCUGGGUAGAGAAGAGCACAUGUAAGGGUAGAAUAGGAAGAAAGAAUUCACUAGGUCUAAAGGAUGCUGAGGGAGGGAGCUGUGGGUUCUUGCUUCUCAUUCAUUUGUGCUCCAAUCAUGGCUCCUGGCUCCCAACUUCUAAGGAGCAUCUGCCCCCCCUGCAAGGUCGAAGCAUGGGCCUACAGGUCAAAGGAACUCCAGGCCAGGCUUCAGGAUAUCCGCUCUGCCUCAGUCCUGUCCUCUGCUGGACUUGAUCACCUGUAGAACCUUGCAAGAAAUUUCACACCUUCUCCCGAGCACACAAGUCAAUUGCGUGUGGUUCCUUGUGGACCAGCAGCUAAUAUUAGGGAAGAGGGCUGCACCCUGGGUCCCUCCGUCUCUGGGAGCCCCUUCAGUCCUUACCUGCUCCACUUCUGGCUCUCGGCCCACGUCUCUCUUACGAUGAUUCCUGGAGUCUCCUCGCCCUGACCAGCCUGAGAGGUUUUAAGCACAAGGACCUCAACUUCUUCAAACCUCUGCUGAAUGUACAAUAGAUUCAGCAUCAAUACCCAGCUUGAUGGGGCCUCUGCAUGUGUUCACAUUGUCAUGUUCUCAGGAAAUUUGCAAAGCCAUCGCUGCAUUUAGGUAAAUCAUUGCCAGCCACCUCUAUGUACAGAGUGGCUUCUAGGAAUCUUCCUUUCACACUGUCCAUCUCACUCAGAAUUGUGACAUCAAGAUGUCCAAUCCUGAGGUCAUCUCAUGGCAUGAAUGUAUUUCAUGCCACCUGGCCCUGGGAGAACAUGGGCAAUGGAGGAGAAACAGGUUGAAAAUGUACAGAAACAGAAGCUAAUCUGUGGGAAACCCUUCCACUUGGGGGGUUGGGCAGGUGACGGGGGAAUGUAUUUUAGAGGUGUGCAUGGCAGAAAUGCCCUGUGCUAUUUUUCUGAAUUGUGUGACAGUUGUUUUGACUUUUUUCUCAUUCUAAAUAAAUACUCAUUUUCUUACCUC
This is a long non-coding RNA of Pipistrellus kuhlii (Kuhl's pipistrelle), 3588 nucleotides long. RefSeq lists it as uncharacterized. The record is from RefSeq and is a predicted model, not a curated record. Lineage: Eukaryota; Metazoa; Chordata; Mammalia; Chiroptera; Vespertilionidae. The transcript is spliced from 2 exons.